AAGCGACUAAGCGUACACGGUGGAUGCCCUGGCAGUCAGAGGCGAUGAAGGACGUGCUAAUCUGCGAUAAGCGCCGGUAAGGUGAUAUGAACCGUUAUAACCGGCGAUUUCCGAAUGGGGAAACCCAGUGUGAUUCGUCACACUAUCAUUAACUGAAUCCAUAGGUUAAUGAGGCGAACCGGGGGAACUGAAACAUCUAAGUACCCCGAGGAAAAGAAAUCAACCGAGAUUCCCCCAGUAGCGGCGAGCGAACGGGGAGGAGCCCAGAGCCUGAAUCAGCAUGUGUGUUAGUGGAAGCGUCUGGAAAGGCGCGCGAUACAGGGUGACAGCCCCGUACACAAAAGCGCAUGUGCUGUGAGCUCGAUGAGUAGGGCGGGACACGUGGUAUCCUGUCUGAAUAUGGGGGGACCAUCCUCCAAGGCUAAAUACUCCUGACUGACCGAUAGUGAACCAGUACCGUGAGGGAAAGGCGAAAAGAACCCCGGCGAGGGGAGUGAAAAAGAACCUGAAACCGUGUACGUACAAGCAGUGGGAGCACAGGUUUACCUGUGUGACUGCGUACCUUUUGUAUAAUGGGUCAGCGACUUAUAUUCUGUAGCAAGGUUAACCGUAUAGGGGAGCCGUAGGGAAACCGAGUCUUAACCGGGCGUUAAGUUGCAGGGUAUA
Molecule: ribosomal RNA, 666 nt
Filed under: Salmonella enterica subsp. enterica serovar Newport
Lineage: Bacteria; Pseudomonadati; Pseudomonadota; Gammaproteobacteria; Enterobacterales; Enterobacteriaceae
Description: partial 23S ribosomal RNA
Rfam family: Bacterial large subunit ribosomal RNA
Source: RNAcentral